Molecule: long non-coding RNA, 1433 nt
Organism: Quercus robur (English oak)
Lineage: Eukaryota; Viridiplantae; Streptophyta; Magnoliopsida; Fagales; Fagaceae
Exons: 4
Source: RefSeq, a predicted model, not a curated record
ACAAAAUAAUUUCUUCUUCAUAUCUUUCCAGCUUCAAUUAAUGUCAGUUUUGUUCUUCUCUUCUUGUAAGCUUUUCCUUAACAAAAAGGCCAAUUGGUUCGGAUGCUACAAUUUCUGCAAAUGUUGGAAGAACAGUUCUUUAUAGUAAGCAGAUAAGUGAAUGGCCACUCUGCCGAGAGAUUUUGAUUACUCCUCUAACCAAUUAGAAGAGGGCAAGAUCCAUGACAUACUCCAACAGUGGCAGGAUGGCAUAUUCUUGUUUCAAUUGGGCCGUGACAACUGACAAUUACAAUGAACUUGCCACUAGAGAAGCUACAUAUAUUCACGAGUAUGGUGGCUUCUUUGAAGUUUUUCGAAUUUCUACAUUUUGGUAAGAUAUGUUUCUUGUGAAUAAGUUGGUUAGAUUUCUUGACAUUUAUUGUGGAGGAUGCUAACCAAAGUUAGCUACACAGGUUUCUUCCAUGCCCUAUGUAUAUACUAAACAAGGGAUCUUUUUACUAAACAGAAUCCCUAACAGUUCAUCCACCUAUCAAAUCUUAUCUGUUAUCAUGGCCUCACCUAGAGGCUAGAGCCCUUUGUUCCAGUGACUUCAACACUUCAAUGCUAGCUAAGGUCCUGAAGUUGACAAAUUUGCUAGAAUCUCGGGUAAAUGUAAACUAGACUAGCUGAAAGAGUUGGAUACUCUUUAGUGUCAUUCUGCUCUUCAAUUCCUUAGGCUGGUAUCUUGCAGGACAUUAAAAGCUAAUUGCAUCUGGAUGUGAAGUGUGGUUGUCAGUGGAGAAAUCAUUGCUACCUAAAUAAAUGACUCAAAUCUGGAAAAUUGGUGACCUAAUCUGCUGCAACAAUAGAAUUUGUUCUCUAAAUCCCAACUUAGAUAUUAACGCCUCAUAUUUGUAAUGGUAUGUACGCGGCCUGACAUUUCUCAGGCUAUUAGCAUGGUUAGUUGUUAUUUGCAUGAUCUAAGGAAGGAUCAUUUGCAAGCUGCUAUAUGGAUCUUGAGAUGACUUGGGUUUGAAGUUUGAGAGAGAUGAAUCUUUUAGAAGACACAUUGAUUCAGACUAUGUCAAGGAUCUAGAUAAGCACCAUUCUACUAUGAGCUACUUACAUUUGCUAAAGCAUUGGUGAGUUGGAGGUUGAUACUGCAGUAGGCUAUUGCAUUGGCAACCACUACAGCUGAAUACAUGGGUUUGAUUGUAGUCAUCAAGGGGGCUCUUUGGCUACAUGGUUUGAUUGAAAACUUGAACAUUCAUCAUAAGCACAUAUGUGUAUUUUGUGACAGUCGAGUUCCAUUCAUUUAGAAAAAAACCAAGUCGAAAUGGUAUUUGAUUGAUACCCAACUAUUGUUGUAAAUAAUGUCGAAAUGGUAUUUGAUUGAUACCCAAACACAUUAUUUCCUUAACCAAACCGAAACGGUCAUCGUACGAAAUUGACAA